CCUACGGGAGGCAGCAGUGGGGGAUAUUGCACAAUGGGGGGAACCCUGAUGCAGCGACGCCGCGUGGGUGAAGGAGUGCUUCGGCAUGUAAAGCCCUAUCGGCAGGGAAGAAGCAAGACGGUACCUGACUAAGAAGCCCCGGCUAACUACGUGCCAGCAGCCGCGGUAAUACGUAGGGGGCGAGCGUUAUCCGGAUUCACUGGGUGUAAAGGGAGCGUAGACGGCCAUGCAAGCCAGGGGUGAAAGCCCGGGGCCCAACCCCGGGACUGCCCUUGGAACUGUGCGGCUAGAGUGCGGGAGGGGCAGGCGGAAUUCCUGGUGUAGCGGUGAAAUGCGUAGAUAUCAGGAGGAACACCGGAGGCGAAGGCGGCCUGCUGGACUGCGACUGACGUUGAGGCUCGAAAGCGUGGGGAGCGAACAGGAUUAGAUACCCCUGUAGUC
RNAcentral lists this ribosomal RNA (441 nucleotides) under uncultured bacterium. RNAcentral describes it as "partial 16S ribosomal RNA". It matches the Rfam family "Bacterial small subunit ribosomal RNA", at positions 338 to 795 of the family's 1533-position model. The record is from RNAcentral.